RNAcentral lists this long non-coding RNA (497 nucleotides) under Mytilus galloprovincialis (Mediterranean mussel). The record is from RNAcentral. Lineage: Eukaryota; Metazoa; Mollusca; Bivalvia; Mytilida; Mytilidae.
GUAUUAACAAGUAUUUUAUUAUUAUUAAGAUACAAUUUAAGAAUCAAUCAAUGAUUUUGCUAUUGUAUCAGUUUACAAGAAGUUGUUUCCAGGAAGUUAAGUUAACAAGAAAGCUGAAACGAAAAUGAAAGUAGAGUAAAAAAUACCUGUCCAGAUAUAAAUAGCUAAGUCAGCACAGGUAUUUUGGAGUGGAAUUCCAACCCCCCUUUUUCCAAAUUAAAUAUGUUUUCCCUCCUUAGGACUGUUUCCGAAAAAUGUUUACGGAAAUUUACGUAUACAGGUUGUAUAAAAACUUUCAGCAUAAAGGUAAAGAAAAAGUAACAGUCAAAGAACCGACCACUGCAGGCGGGGUAAGAAAGACUUUUUUUUUUUUUUUAAAUAUUAUUACAUUUAAAAUUGGAAGUUAAUUUGAUUAAAGAUCAACACAAUGCAUUAGCCUUUCAAAAAGGGCUAUAGUCGACUCUUAGCUGAGGAAAAUGGAAAGUGCUCUCGCUUUG